CAGUACCGCGGGAAUACGUAGGGUGCGAGCGUUAAUCGGAAUUACUGGGCGUAAAGCGUGCGCAGGCGGUUGUGUAAGACAGGUGUGAAAUCCCCGGGCUUAACCUGGGAACUGCGCUUGUGACUGCACAGCUAGAGUAUGGCAGAGGGGGGUGGAAUUCCACGUGUAGCAGUGAAAUGCGUAGAGAUGUGGAGGAACACCGAUGGCGAAGGCAGCCCCCUGGGCCAAUACUGACGCUCAUGCACGAGAGCGUGGGGAGCAAACAGGAUUAGAUACCCCCGUAGUCCCUGUCUCUUAUACA
RNAcentral lists this ribosomal RNA (301 nucleotides) under uncultured bacterium. RNAcentral describes it as "partial 16S ribosomal RNA". It matches the Rfam family "Bacterial small subunit ribosomal RNA", at positions 509 to 808 of the family's 1533-position model. The record is from RNAcentral.